GCGCCCUUAGCUCAGUUGGAUAGAGCAUCGGUUUUCUAAACCGGGGGUCGGAGGUUCGAAUCCUCUAGGGCGCGCCA
This 77-nucleotide transfer RNA is filed under the name Alphaproteobacteria bacterium. RNAcentral describes it as "tRNA-Arg". It matches the Rfam family "tRNA". Rfam says of the family: Transfer RNA (tRNA) molecules are approximately 80 nucleotides in length. Their secondary structure includes four short double-helical elements and three loops (D, anti-codon, and T loops). RNAcentral also lists the same sequence under 1 other name. Lineage: Bacteria; Pseudomonadati; Pseudomonadota; Alphaproteobacteria. The record is from RNAcentral.